RNAcentral lists this long non-coding RNA (2710 nucleotides) under Oncorhynchus kisutch (coho salmon). Its description in RNAcentral is "lncRNA (ENSOKIG00005036946.1)". Lineage: Eukaryota; Metazoa; Chordata; Actinopteri; Salmoniformes; Salmonidae. The record is from RNAcentral.
GUAACUAUCUCAGUUGAUUCCACCAGUCUUGUCUUAUUUCCCUCUGUGUCCCUCCAGAAGAGAGAGAAGAGGAGAGAGGAUGAAGAGAGGAGGAAGGAGUGGAUGGACCAGGAGAGAGAGAGAACCCUGAGCAGACUCCGCUCCUUCAGAGAGAAGCGACAGGGAAGUUACGUCCUGAAGACUCCACGAUCCAAGAUGGCUGCCAGGGAGCCGCAGUGUUCCGACCUCUCCCAGCCUCUGUCAAUCAUUAGCAUCGGCCCCUCCCCUUCAUCUAAUGGGGCCGCCCCCAGAAAGACCCCCAGGAAACUCAAACCGAAAGACAUCCCCGUCCAAAUAUUCACUCCUCCUCUCCCUCCUCCUUCGCCUCUGCCAACUACACCUCCCACUACAGCUGUACCCCCACCUCAGACCUCCUCUCCUCCUCCCCCCUCCUCCUCCACCCCUCCCUGCCCUCACCCCCUGUAAGACAGAGGUAGGCGACUCCCCCAUGCCUCUCAGUGAGAAAGAGGCCGCACCCUUCCCUGCCAAAAUGACCCUGAAGCAGAACCUAGGUUCUAUGGACGAGGUGUUGGCAUCAUUACAGCGUGGUCAGGUCAGGCUGCGUCGUGUUCAGCCCCUUGCCCCUCCUGGUCCCGGCCUGGCGCCCUCCGGUGGCGACCUCAGGGAUAACAUCAUGUCUGCCAUCAGACUUGGGGUCAAACUACGCAAGGUGGUCCCAGCAGUGCCCCUGCCCCAGGACAGCAGGGACACGGAUCUGCAGAAGAGCAUCAAGGCAGCCAUGCAGAGGAUGAAGAAGGUCUCCUCCGACUCAGAUGAAGAUGAGGAGAGAGGAGAGGACAACACGCCCUUGGCUGAGUGGGACAGCUGAGAGGAGACGUAUGCACGGACAGACAGACACUCGGACGCGCACGGACACAUCCAUAAAGCAGGCGUACUGCGUGUGUGUGUGUGUGUAUACAGCAGGGAGAACAAGUAUUUGAUACACUGCAGGUUUUCCUACUUACAAAACAUGUAGAUAUACUUAUGUCAUGCAAUAAAAUGCAAAUUAAUUACUUAAAAAUCAUACAAUGUGAUUUUCGUUUUAGAUUCCGUCUCUCACAGUUGAAGUGUACCCAUGAUUAAAAAAAUUACAGACCUCUACAUGCUUUGUAAGUAGGAAAACCUGCAAAAUCGUCAGUGUAUCAAAUACUUGUUCUCCCCACUGUAUACACACACACACACGUACAAAUCAAAACAUUCACUAAUCAAUAGGUUAACCAUGUUGCCAAUGGUUUAGUCGUGUGAUUAUGCAGGUUUACUGUUUGACGUAAAACUUGAUCCAUAGAGAAGAGAUCGUAUCUUAAACACCCUGAAAAUGUUUAACUAAAGCACUGUGCCCAAAUAUCCACCACCUGUUACCACGGUUCAAGGCUACAGCCUUUUUUUUCCACCAAGCUUAGAAACUAGCUGUUAUCUGGCUAAAAAGCUCCCACCAAUUCCAGAUUUUCAUGAAUUCUUGUUUGUACGCUUGUCUAGUCUUCCGUUUGCAAACGAGCCUGAGGACUUGACAUUGAAGUAUUGUCCAACUGCUUUACACAGAGAGAGACAGAGAGAGACAGAGAGAGACAGAGAGAGACAGAGAGAGAGAGAGAGAGAGAGAGACAGAGAGAGAGAGAGACAGACAGAGAGACAGACAGACAGACAGAGAGAGAGAGAUUCUGUGUCUGUGUCUAUGGUUGCAGUCCCCUGCAGCGUGUUCAACUAGAACAGGUGGCAGACCUUACCGUGUAAUGCGGUUCAGUUUGUCAUCGUAUUACACUACAUCUCCCUUAAUGUUUUGUUUGUCUAGUGCCAGUUGGAACUGGUGUCCCCCCCUUCAUAGCAUAACUGACGAACCAUUGAAGGAGAAAACAUUUAUCGUUUUUUGUUGUUGUUGUUUCUGCUUCAUGAUUUUAUCUACGGAUGAAAAUGAGCUCGUUUUGCCACAUUUACUUUGAGGAAAACUGAAAUGUUGAUGACUGUGCACUCUGUCCUACAACGCCAUAUUAAUCGCUGUGAUGAUAAAAUAACCCUUUAAGUAUAUGACCUCUGCCCUUCAUGAACAGAAUAGAGCUUUACCCAGUUUCCCACCAUGAACUAAAACAAUAGGAUGUAGUUGACCCCGUAGGCACAACAGUCCUAGGAUCAGCCUCCUCUCCCCCCAAUCCCAACCUUUUAACCAUUAGGGGGAAUAAUCUAAAACUGGCCUUGGGUCAGUGUCUAGGGGGCCAACUUCACCCUAGUAUUUCUAAUGAUGCUACGUUAUUACAUGGCACAUGAUUUGACCGGGUUGUCAUGGAGACGCAAAAGGCCGUGUUCCAGACUGCCCUGCAAAAGCAGCAUCUUUUAGACAAAUGAACCAAUGAUUGAAUAUGUAAGAUUUGGUGCGUGACUGCAAUGUAGGUGGCCUGGAACAUGGCCAGAUGUAUAAACGAGCGCCAAUGCACUGAUUUAAAUAUUUUUUUUGUAAACUGUCAAACCCAGUUUCCAUUCGACUGUUAAGUGUUAUUUUAAAGAGAGAACGUUGUCAUUAAUGCUCAAGUGCCUUGGGGACUGUAAGUUAUUACGAGCUGUCAUUCACCAAUAAACUGUUGUUGAAUCAGGUUUCUGUAGUACACUUCUACAACUGUUCUGUCCGGGAGAGAUUCUCUUUAUAAUGGGGGAAAACACACUAAUAAUUGAUCAUUCCAGG